Long non-coding RNA from Oncorhynchus tshawytscha (Chinook salmon), 574 nucleotides. The record is from Ensembl. Lineage: Eukaryota; Metazoa; Chordata; Actinopteri; Salmoniformes; Salmonidae.
GUCAGUUAGAGACAGUAGGAUAGAUAGAUACUGGUCAGUUAGAGACAGUAGGAUAGAUAGAUACUGGUCAGUUAGAGACAGUAGGAUAGAUACUGGUCAGUUAGAGACAGUAGGACAGAUAGAUACUGGUCAGUUAGAGACAGUAGACUGGACAGAUAGAUACUGGUCAGUUAGAGACAGUAGGAUAGAUAGUUACUGGUCAGUUAGAGACAGUAGGAUAGAUAGAUACUGGUCAGUUAGAGACAGUAGGACAGAUAGAUACUGGUCAGUUAGAGACAGUAGGACAGAUACUGGUCAGUUAGAGACAGUAGGACAGAUAGAUACAGGUCAGUUAGAGACAGACAGAUAGAUACUGGUCAGUUAGAGACAGUAGGAUAGAUACUGGUCAGUUAGAGACAGUAGGACAGAUAGAUACUGGUCAGUUAGAGACAGUAGGAUAGAUAGAUACUGGUCAGUUAGAGACAGUAGGAUAGAUAGAUACUGGUCAGUUAGAGACAGUAGGAUAGAUAGAUACUGGUCAGUUAGAGACAGUAGGAUAGAUACUGGUCAGUUAGAGACAGUAGGACAGAUAGAU